Molecule: non-coding RNA, 27 nt
Filed under: Rattus norvegicus (Norway rat)
Lineage: Eukaryota; Metazoa; Chordata; Mammalia; Rodentia; Muridae
Source: RNAcentral
UGGUCAGUUUACGGCUUCCGAACGGAC